RNAcentral lists this long non-coding RNA (279 nucleotides) under Elaeis guineensis (African oil palm). RNAcentral's name for it is "long non-coding RNA (EGUI_LNC069245)". The record is from RNAcentral. Lineage: Eukaryota; Viridiplantae; Streptophyta; Magnoliopsida; Arecales; Arecaceae.
AUGGGCAUGCAUUGAGAAAUUAGAGAGAGGUUUUACCAUGGAAAACCUGAGAGAAAAUUAAGGGAGGGCAUGAGGUCUUGGAUGGCCGGCUCUCUUAGUGUGUUACCCUUAGGAUUCAUCUAAGGUUUGGGAAAAGAAGGAAAUAAGAAAAUAGUGUCUUGCCUAUUUUUCUUCCACCAUAAUCUCCUACUAAUGAUCCUUCUUCAACCUCUGAAAGUGUUUAAGAGAUCUGAAGGAAGGAACCAGAUUAGCAUUCAAUAUGGUCUUCGCACGAGCUAG